Molecule: ribosomal RNA, 253 nt
Filed under: uncultured bacterium
Lineage: Bacteria
Description: partial 16S ribosomal RNA
Rfam family: Bacterial small subunit ribosomal RNA
Source: RNAcentral
UACGUAGGGUGCAAGCGUUGUCCGGAAUUAUUGGGCGUAAAGAGCUCGUAGGCGGUCUGUCGCGUCGGUUGUGAAAACCCAAGGCUCAACCUUGGGCCUGCAAUCGAUACGGGCAGACUAGAGUACUGCAGGGGAGACUGGAAUUCCUGGUGUAGCGGUGGAAUGCGCAGAUAUCAGGAGGAACACCGGUGGCGAAGGCGGGUCUCUGGGCAGUAACUGACGCUGAGGAGCGAAAGCGUGGGGAGCGAACAGG